Molecule: ribosomal RNA, 486 nt
Filed under: uncultured bacterium
Lineage: Bacteria
Description: partial 16S ribosomal RNA
Rfam family: Bacterial small subunit ribosomal RNA
Source: RNAcentral
AUUGAACGCUGGCGACAUGCCUUACACAUGCAAGUCGAACGGCAGCACGGGUGCUUGCACCUGGUGGCGAGUGGCGAACGGGUGAGUAAUACAUCGGAACAUGUCCUGUAGUGGGGGAUAGCCCGGCGAAAGCCGGAUUAAUACCGCAUACGAUCUACGGAUGAAAGCGGGGGACCUUCGGGCCUCGCGCUAUAGGGUUGGCCGAUGGCUGAUUAGCUAGUUGGUGGGGUAAAGGCCUACCAAGGCGACGAUCAGUAGCUGGUCUGAGAGGACGACCAGUCACACUGGGACUGAGACACGGCCCAGACUCCUACGGGAGGCAGCAGUGGGGAAUUUUGGACAAUGGGCGAAAGCCUGAUCCAGCAAUGCCGCGUGUGUGAAGAAGGCCUUCGGGCUGUAAAGCACUUUUGUCCGGAAAGAAAUCCUUGGCCCUAAUACGGUCGGGGGAUGACGGUACCGGAAGAAUAAGCACCGGCUAACUACGUG